Molecule: ribosomal RNA, 763 nt
Filed under: uncultured soil bacterium
Lineage: Bacteria
Description: bacterial SSU rRNA
Rfam family: Bacterial small subunit ribosomal RNA
Source: RNAcentral
AGAGUUUGAUCCUGGCUCAGGACGAACGCUGGCGGCGUGCUUAACACAUGCAAGUCAAGGGGGCCCAGCAAUGGGCAACCGGCGAACGGGUGCGUAACACGUGAGCAACCUACCGAACUGUGGGGGAUAGCCGGCCUAACGGCCGAGUAAUACCGCAUACGCUUUCAGUGAGGCAUUUCAUUGAAAGGAAACCUACGGGACAGAUCGAGGGGCUCGCGGCCUAUCAGCUAGUUGACGAGGUAAUGGCUCACCAAGGCUACGACGGGUAGCUGGUCUGAGAGGAUGGCCAGCCACAUUGGGACUGAGAUACGGCCCAGACUCCUACGGGAGGCAGCAGUGGGGAAUCUUGCGCAAUGGCCUAACGGCUGACGCAGCGACGCCGCGUGUGGGAUGAAGCUCCUCGGAGUGUAAACCACUGUUGCCCGGGACGAAUAGCUCGAUUAAUCGAGCCUGACGGUACCGGGUGAGGAAGCACCGGCUAACUCCGUGCCAGCAGCCGCGGUAAUACGGGGGGUGCGAGCGUUGUCCGGAAUCACUGGGCGUAAAGGGCGCGUAGGUGGUUUGAUAAGGGUGUGGUGAAAGCCCGGGGCUCAACCCCGGGUCUGCCGUGCCGACUGUUGAACUGGAGGGCUGUAGAGGCAGACGGAAUUCCGGGUGUAGCGGUGGAAUGCGUAGAGAUCCGGAGAGACCGGUGGCGAAGCGGUCUGCUGGGCAGUUCUGACACUGAUGCGCGACAGCGUGGGGAGCAAACAGGAUUAGAUAC